GAUGAACGCUGGCGGUGUGCUUUAGGUAUGCAAGUCGAGCGGGUCCUCUUCGGAGGACCAGCGGCAGACGGGUGAGUAACGCGUGGGAAUUUCCCUUUUGGUGUGGAAUAGCCUCGAGAAAUCGGGGGUAAUACCGCAUAAGUUAGGUGCCCUUUGGGCAUUUAGGAAAGGCCAUAACUGGUCGCCGAAAGAUGAGCCCGCGUCCUAUCAGCUUGUUGGUGAGGUAAUGGCUCACCAAGGCGAUGACGGGUAGCUGGACUGAGAGGUCGGUCAGCCACAAUGGGACUGCGACACGGCCCAUACAUCUACGGAUGGCAGCAACCGGGAAUAUUGCGCAAUGGACGAAAGUCUGACGCAGCGACACCGCGUGGGGGAUGAAGGCCUUCGGGUUGUAAACCUCUUUUAUAAGGGAAGAAGUGGUUCUUACGGACCAUUGACGGUACCUUUUGAAUAAGCACCGGCUAACUACGUGCCAGCAGCAGCGGUAAAACGUAGGGUGCAAGCGUUAUCCGGAUUUAUUGGGCGUAAAGCGUCCGCAGGCGGACGGUUAAGUCUUUCUUUAAAGUCCUCAGCUCAACUGAGGAAAAGGGAAAGAGACUGGCUGUCUAGAGGGUAGAAGGGGGUGUCGGAACUUGUGGUGUAGGGGUGAAAUCCGUUGAUAUCACAAGGAACGCCAAGGGCGAAGGCAGACACCUGGUAUACACCUGACGCUCAGGGACGAAAGCUAGGGGAGCAAAGCGGAUUAGAGACCCGCGUAGUCCUAGCUGUAAACGCUGUUCGCUCGUUCUUCGACUUUUAGUUGAGGGACUAAGGUAACCCGUUAAGCGAACCGCCUGGGGAGUACGACCGCAAGGUUGAAACUCAAAGGAAUUGACGGGGACCUGCACAACCAGUGGAGCAUGUGGUUUAAUUCGAUACGAAGCGAUGAACCUUACCUAGACUUGACAUACUAAUGACAUCUCUGGGAAACCAGAGCUUCCUUACGGACAUUAGAACAGCUGCUGCAUGGCUAUCGUCAGCUCGUGCCGUGGGGUGUCGGCUUAAGUGCCGUAACGAGCGCAACCCUUGUCUUGUGUUAAAUAUUCACAAGAGACUGCGGUCGACAUUUCGACCGAGGAAGGAGAGGACGACGUUAAGUCAGCAUGGUGCUUAUGUCUAGGGCAACACACAUCCUACAAUGGUCACGACAAUGGGUUGCCAAACCGCAAGGUGGAGCCAAUCCCCCAAACGUGGCCUCAGUUCAGAUUGUGGGCUGCAAUUCGCCCACAUGAAGUUGGAAUUGGUAGUAAUCGCGGAUCAGCAGGCCGCGGUGAAUACGUUCUCAGGUCU
RNAcentral lists this ribosomal RNA (1329 nucleotides) under uncultured bacterium. RNAcentral's name for it is "bacterial SSU rRNA". It matches the Rfam family "Bacterial small subunit ribosomal RNA", at positions 28 to 1381 of the family's 1533-position model. The record is from RNAcentral.